This 629-nucleotide ribosomal RNA is filed under the name Hypoxylon fragiforme. RNAcentral describes it as "eukaryotic LSU rRNA". The stretch from base 260 to 413 matches the Rfam family "5.8S ribosomal RNA". The record is from RNAcentral. Lineage: Eukaryota; Fungi; Ascomycota; Sordariomycetes; Xylariales; Hypoxylaceae.
CCGUAGGUGAACCUGCGGAGGGAUCAUUAAUGAGUUAUUAAAACUCCAAACCCUUUGUGAACCUUACCGUCGUUGCCUCGGCGUGAGCUACGGCUACCCUGUAGCUACCCUGUAGUACCCUAUAGCUACCCUGUAGUACCCUACAGCUACCCUAUAGGUACCUUGAAGCUACCCUGUAGACGGCUUAUGGCCCGCCGAAGGACCGCUAAACUCUUGUUUUUAUUGCUGUUAUUCUGAAUUAUAAACUAAAAUAAGUUAAAACUUUCAACAACGGAUCUCUUGGUUCUGGCAUCGAUGAAGAACGCAGCGAAAUGCGAUAAGUAAUGUGAAUUGCAGAAUUCAGUGAAUCAUCGAAUCUUUGAACGCACAUUGCGCCCAUUAGUAUUCUAGUGGGCAUGCCUAUUCGAGCGUCAUUUCGACCCCUAAGCCCCUGUUGCUUAGCGUUGGGAAUCUACGGCGUAGUUCCUUAAAGUUAGUGGCGGAGUUAGGGUACACUCUCAGCGUAGUAAUAUCUCUCGCUCGUGUGGUGGCCCUGGCUGCUGGCCGUUAAAACCCCUAUAUCUUUUAGUGGUUGACCUCGAAUUAGGUAAGAAUACCCGCUGAACUUAAGCAUAUCAAUAAGCGGAGGA